UACGUAGGGUGCAAGCGUUGUUCGGAAUUACUGGGCGUAAAGAGCGCGCAGGCGGUCGUUCAAGUCGAGUGUGAAAGCCCCCGGCUCAACUGGGGAGGGUCACUCGAUACUGAUCGACUCGAAGGCAGGAGAGGGAAGUGGAAUUCCCGGUGUAGUGGUGAAAUGCGUAGAUAUCGGGAGGAACACCAGUGGCGAAGGCGACUUCCUGGCCUGUUCUUGACGCUGAGGCGCGAAAGCUAGGGGAGCAAACGGG
This 253-nucleotide ribosomal RNA is filed under the name uncultured bacterium. Its description in RNAcentral is "partial 16S ribosomal RNA". It matches the Rfam family "Bacterial small subunit ribosomal RNA", at positions 524 to 776 of the family's 1533-position model. The record is from RNAcentral.